This 428-nucleotide ribosomal RNA is filed under the name uncultured bacterium. RNAcentral describes it as "partial 16S ribosomal RNA". It matches the Rfam family "Bacterial small subunit ribosomal RNA", at positions 354 to 796 of the family's 1533-position model. The record is from RNAcentral.
GUGGGGAAUAUUGGGCAAUGGGCGAAAGCCUGACCCAGCAACGCCGCGUGAGGGAAGAAGGUUUUCGGAUUGUAAACCUCUGUCCUUGGUGACGAAGGAAGUGACGGUAGCCAAGGAGGAAGCCCCGGCUAACUACGUGCCAGCAGCCGCGGUAAUACGUAGGGGGCGAGCGUUGUCCGGAAUGACUGGGCGUAAAGGGCGUGUAGGCGGCCGAUUAAGUCUGGAGUGAAAGUCCUGCUUUCAAGGUGGGAAUUGGUGUGGAGACUGGUUGGCUUGAGUGCGAAAGAGGUAAGUGGAAUUCCCAGUGUAGCGGUGAAAUGCGUAGAGAUUGGGAGGAACACCAGUGGCGAAGGCGACUUACUGGGCCGUAACUGACGCUGAGGCGCGAAAGCGUGGGGAGCGAACAGGAUUAGAAACCCCAGUAGUCC